AUGCUUUUGGAGCGGCCGAUGUCUGAUUAGCUAGUUGGUGAGGUAAAGGCUCACCAAGGCGACGAUCAGUAGCUGGUCUGAGAGGACGACCAGCCACACUGGGACUGAGACACGGCCCAG
Molecule: ribosomal RNA, 120 nt
Filed under: uncultured bacterium
Lineage: Bacteria
Description: partial 16S ribosomal RNA
Rfam family: Bacterial small subunit ribosomal RNA
Source: RNAcentral